Molecule: ribosomal RNA, 384 nt
Filed under: uncultured bacterium
Lineage: Bacteria
Description: bacterial SSU rRNA
Rfam family: Bacterial small subunit ribosomal RNA
Source: RNAcentral
CCUUACCAACCCUUGACAUCCUGUGCUACAUCCAGAGAUGGAUGGUUCCCUUCGGGGACGCAGUGACAGGUGCUGCAUGGCUGUCGUCAGCUCGUGUCGUGAGAUGUUCGGUUAAGUCCGGCAACGAGCGCAACCCACAUCCUUAGUUACCAGCGGUUCGGCCGGGAACUCUAAGGAAACUGCCCGUGAUAAGCGGGAGGAAGGUGUGGAUGACGUCAAGUCCUCAUGGCCCUUACGGGUUGGGCUACACACGUGCUACAAUGGCAGUGACAAUGGGUUAAUCCCCAAAAACUGUCUCAGUUCGGAUUGGGGUCUGCAACUCGACCCCAUGAAGUCGGAAUCGCUAGUAAUCGCGUAACAGCAUGACGCGGUGAAUACGUUCCC